GAAGUCGGCCGGACGAUCGCGGCCCCCGCGUGCGGGGGCGGAGGAAAGUCCGGGCUCCGCAGGGCAGGGUGCCAGGUAACGCCUGGGGGGCGUGAGCCCACGGAAAGUGCCACAGAAAACAAACCGCCCAAGUCGCCGCGAGGCGAACGGCAAGGGUGAAAAGGUGCGGUAAGAGCGCACCGCGGCGCUGGCAACAGUCGCCGGCACGGAAAACCCCACCCGGAGCAAGACCAAAUAGGGGAGCGCCAGCGUGUGGCCCGCACGGCUCCCGGGUAGGUCGCUACAGGCGUCCGGUGACGGGCGUCGCAGAUGAAUGAUCGUCCUCGACAGAACCCGGCUUACAGGCCGACUUCCUCC
This 357-nucleotide RNase P RNA is filed under the name Pseudomonadota bacterium. RNAcentral describes it as "Proteobacteria bacterium RNase P RNA component class A". It matches the Rfam family "Bacterial RNase P class A". Rfam says of the family: Ribonuclease P (RNase P) is a ubiquitous endoribonuclease, found in archaea, bacteria and eukarya as well as chloroplasts and mitochondria. Its best characterised activity is the generation of mature 5'-ends of tRNAs by cleaving the 5'-leader elements of precursor-tRNAs. Cellular RNase Ps are ribonucleoproteins. RNAcentral also lists the same sequence under 2 other names. The record is from RNAcentral. Lineage: Bacteria; Pseudomonadati; Pseudomonadota.